UUAUGUAGAGGAAAUGUAAAAAAUUGAUAAAUAAUUGGAUCUUAUGAGUAGACUAACUGCAUAUGUCUCAUGUGCAGUAAAUGGUAAAGGGAUGGAUAGUGGAUGCAGGUGUGAACAAAGUACCAGGUGAUCAACGAACAUGAAUCCUAUCUCAUAGAGUUCAUGCUGCUUGUUCAUGUUCUCCCACAUCCGUGUGAUGCGCACAACAGCACACCUCGGAGAUCCUAAAGGUGAACAGUAAAGUGCAGACUAUUGGACAGAUCUAAGCCAGGAAAUAAGUGCAAACAAUCAGGAUCAGG
Molecule: long non-coding RNA, 299 nt
Organism: Lolium rigidum
Lineage: Eukaryota; Viridiplantae; Streptophyta; Magnoliopsida; Poales; Poaceae
Exons: 2
Source: RefSeq, a predicted model, not a curated record